GUGCUUGCUUCAGCAGCACAUGUGCUAAAAUUGGAACAAUGCAGAGAAGAUUAGCAUGGCCCCUGCACAAGGAUGACAUACAAAUUUGUGAAGCAUUUCAUAUCUUA
This is a small nuclear RNA of Phyllostomus discolor (pale spear-nosed bat), 107 nucleotides long. The record is from RefSeq and is a predicted model, not a curated record. Lineage: Eukaryota; Metazoa; Chordata; Mammalia; Chiroptera; Phyllostomidae.